AUAUCAAUGUCCGCACCUAACAUAACGCCUGAUUUUCGUUAAUGCUGAGUCCUCAGAAGGCUGACAAAGCAGGCCGAUUCGGGUGAAUUUUAGAAGAUUCCUUUUACGUGCGUAUGAGGCUGGUGCACACAGGCUAUCAUAUUCUACAAAAAGCAUGACCACAUUCAAUCAAGCAAGGAUCAUCUUCCUUCUAAUAUGUGCCGAAUGGUGCAUUGUUCAAGCGUGCAGACACACCGAGUACAUUUUUUGGUGCCACCGUGGUGACUACAUCCCUGGAAUCUUGUGUCCUGGAGUUCAGCGAUGGCAAUGCGAGAAAUCAAAGCUUAGGUGCGCAUGUAAGGAAGGGAAUGCCCAGAGGUGGGACUCCUACUGCGUGCCUUACAGGGACUGCGUCUUCAGGGACUUCCAUCCAGAAAAACUGCUUAGGCUGGACGAAGACCUCAUCAUGGUGGGGCUGUCAACCUCAAUAUUUGAAAAUGACGCUUUCAAAUGCUUUGUCUCCUCCCCGUUUAAACGUGGUAGUCACAACUUACACCGCCUGGUGAAGUACAAAAAAAAA
Molecule: long non-coding RNA, 559 nt
Organism: Dermacentor albipictus
Lineage: Eukaryota; Metazoa; Arthropoda; Arachnida; Ixodida; Ixodidae
Source: RefSeq, a predicted model, not a curated record